RNAcentral lists this ribosomal RNA (433 nucleotides) under uncultured bacterium. RNAcentral describes it as "bacterial SSU rRNA". It matches the Rfam family "Bacterial small subunit ribosomal RNA", at positions 29 to 507 of the family's 1533-position model. The record is from RNAcentral.
AACGAACGCUGGCGGCAUGCCUAACACAUGCAAGUCGAACGAGACCUUCGGGUCUAGUGGCGCACGGGUGCGUAACGCGUGGGAAUCUGCCCUUCGGUUCGGAAUAACUCAGGGAAACUUGAGCUAAUACCGGAUAAUGACGUAAGUCCAAAGAUUUAUCGCCGAAGGAUGAGCCCGCGUAGGAUUAGCUUGUUGGUGGGGUAAUGGCCCACCAAGGCGACGAUCCUUAGCUGGUCUGAGAGGAUGAUCAGCCACACUGGGACUGAGACACGGCCCAGACUCCUACGGGAGGCAGCAGUGGGGAAUAUUGGACAAUGGGCGAAAGCCUGAUCCAGCAAUGCCGCGUGAGUGAUGAAGGCCUUAGGGUUGUAAAGCUCUUUUACCCGGGAUGAUAAUGACGGUACCUGAGGAGGAAGCCACGGCUAACUACGUG